Molecule: transfer RNA, 74 nt
Filed under: Tenericutes bacterium ADurb.BinA155
Lineage: Bacteria; Bacillati; Mycoplasmatota
Description: tRNA-Gly
Rfam family: tRNA
About the family: Transfer RNA (tRNA) molecules are approximately 80 nucleotides in length.
Source: RNAcentral
GCAUCCAUAGUUCAGUGGUAGAACACCAGCUUCCCAAGCUGGUUAUACGGGUUCGAUUCCCGCUGGGUGCUCCA